This is a long non-coding RNA of Amphiprion ocellaris (clown anemonefish), 1280 nucleotides long. The record is from Ensembl. Lineage: Eukaryota; Metazoa; Chordata; Actinopteri; Pomacentridae.
CUUAUUUCACACAGAAGCACCAGAAUCAGGUGUUCGGUGUAACAAUGUACCUCAGAUUGACUGGAUAUGAUAUGGAAAUUGCUAUAUGUGGUGAAAAGUUGUUUAUUGUAGCGUCUAAAACAACUGACCUCUUUUGCUGAUGCUCCAGUGAGAUGGAAUAACUUGAUAGUAAUGACAACAAAGUGGGCAGUGUAACCUGAAUAUGACCCAGUUUAGGAAUAACAUGCAACAGUAGGGUGCAGUUGACUUCUGCAGAUCACCUAAAGUUCUUUCAGGUUAAUGACACUGUCAGGAGUCUCUCUUUGUUGCUGUCAAUAAAAAGUCAUUAAUACAUACACCUUGUUCAUGUACAAAAUCUGACAGGGUUGUUCAAUCUAAUGAAUAUAAAAAAACAGAAGCUUAGAUUUGGAACAUACACGUUACAUAUGUUUCUCUAUUGGUUGCAGCUGAACAUAAAACCUCGUGUGAAAGCCAAAGGUGAGGCUGCUCUUCUCUGGAUUAAUGUAGGAGGGGGAGGAAACAGAAAGGGCACAUUUAUACUCUGAAGAGAUGAGGGUUUACAUAAAAAAAAAAAAAUCCAGCCUCUCGAAGCUAUCUUUCAUUUGCUGAAGUACGUACUAUAAUUCCACUUAAUCUGAUGUUGGGGACAUAAUGUCGACAAGGUACUUACUUACACAGAUUUAUAUAUUUCCAUAGGACCUAUUUAUAUUUCUGUAUUUAUUUUAGAAUCUCUUAAUAAGUGAUAUCAGCACCAUACCAGAUAAUACUAAGCAAUGUUCCCCUAAUUGUGUGUAUGUACAGAAUUCAUAACAUGUCCAUGAUUUUUAAAGGAAACAUGUCAUUUGCUUUGUAUAAUCUCUCUACUUACUUACUUUAGUACGGCGCAGGAGCGGGACAUUUUCAUUACAUGAUGCUACAGACAAAGACUUUCUACCUGAAGGCUCAACCUUUUUGUUUCACGAAGGCAGUGACUGGUUCAACACUUCUUAUGAGGACUCGCAACCUUUUGAGGAGGACAGUAUUUGCUAUUUGCUAUUGCUCAAUGGAUAUCUAUUUUUUUCUGCAUUUAACAUGGGAACUAUGGGAAAAAGCAAUAAGGGAACUGUGCAGGUGUGGUGUGAUUUGAUGGGUACCGAUGGGACAUUGCGCUGACCCACACAACAACCACACACACAGGUAGCCGUGGCUCAUAGUUUGUGUGUCGGUGAAAGGAGUGAACUGUCAAUAAGCACACAUACUGGAUGAAAUAAAAUGGCAUAGAAUAAAAUAUAAGGAACACC